Molecule: long non-coding RNA, 1147 nt
Filed under: Salmo salar (Atlantic salmon)
Lineage: Eukaryota; Metazoa; Chordata; Actinopteri; Salmoniformes; Salmonidae
Description: lncRNA (ENSSSAG00000086384.1)
Source: RNAcentral
CAAAAAGAUAACUAUUUGACAUACUGGAAAGAACUGUGACUGACCCCAAAUUAAGAAAAUCCUUGACUGUACAGACUCAGUGAGCAUAGCCUUGCUAUUGAGAGAGGCCGCCAUAGGCAAACCUGGGUCUCGAGAGACCACUGCCCACAAAAUGAGUUGGAAACUGAGAACAUUUCCCACAGAUCACAAACAAUUUGAAAACAAAUCAAACAUUGAUAAACUCCAUAUCUGUGCAAUCACUGCAGCAACAUGUAUGGCACAUUGCCAUGACAAAAGGCCAACCAGUAGAGCACAAACUACAUUGUAAAUACAACCUAUAUUUAUCUAGUUAUUUUACCUUUCAUACAUCAACUAUUUGCACAUUGUUACAACACUGUACAUAGCCAAUAAUAUUACAUUUGAAAUGUGUAUAUUAUUUUAAAACUUUUGUGAGUGUAAUGUUUACUGUUAAUUUCCAUUGUUUAUUUCCCUUUUGUUUAUUGUCUAUUUCACUUGCUUUGGCAAUGUAAACAUAUGUUUAUCAUGCCAAUAAAGCCCUUUGAAUUGAAUUGAGUGGGAGGCCUCAGCCCCUGUGUUGCAUAAAUGCUCAUUGCUGUUUACUGUAAGGGCCAGGGCUGAAGACAUACAGUACAUGGAAAUAACAGGGCAGGUAUCAUGACAUUUUAAGUAUUUCCAAAAGAAACAUUGGUGAUCAUUCUGGUAUAGUUUGUAGUUUUACUCACAUUCACAUGACUGGCUCAGACACCUCAGACAUGAUUGGUUAGUUCAGCCCUAAGCUGCUGCAGUAGGGCUCCCCCAUGAUGUGGCAAUCUACUGUCACUGCCACCUUAUUCAGUAGGUGAGUGAUUACUCUACUGUAGUAGACAGAGAGGUCCCCUACCAUGACUCUACUGUAGUAGACAGAGAAGUCCCCUACCAUGACUCUACUGUAGUAGACAGAGAAGUCCCCUACCAUGACUACUGUAGUAGACAGAGAAGUCCCCUACCAUGACUAUACUGUAGUAGACAGAGAAGUCCCCUACCAUGACUAUACUGUAGUAGACAGAGAAGUCCCCUACCAUGACUCUACUGUAGUAGACAGAGAGGUCCCCUACCAUGACUCUACUGUAGUAGACAGAGAAGUCCCCUACCAUGACUCUACUGUAGU